Molecule: transfer RNA, 77 nt
Filed under: Pseudomonas phage Noxifer
Lineage: Duplodnaviria; Heunggongvirae; Uroviricota; Caudoviricetes; Chimalliviridae
Description: tRNA-Asp
Rfam family: tRNA
About the family: Transfer RNA (tRNA) molecules are approximately 80 nucleotides in length. Their secondary structure includes four short double-helical elements and three loops (D, anti-codon, and T loops).
Source: RNAcentral
GUCGAUGUAGCUCAGAUGGUUAGAGUACCGGCCUGUCACGCCGGGGGUCGAGGGUUCGAAACCCUUCAUCGACGCCA